UGUGGCUUGACAGGCAAUUAAGAAGCGAAUGAAGAUAGAGAUGUCAUUGAUUAUCCAUAGAGCUACAACACUUGUUACUAAAAGGAUUGGACAACCUGGAGAAGUCAUACUUCAACAGAAUCACCCUCAUUACCUUUUGGAAUUGUUAGAAGUGGUGUUCGACUUGUUUAGGGCCGUGGCUCAUGCACAUGAUACAAUUCUAUCUGCAAUCGACCGA
This is a long non-coding RNA of Stylophora pistillata, 217 nucleotides long. NCBI's taxonomy places the organism in Eukaryota, Metazoa, Cnidaria, Anthozoa, Scleractinia, Pocilloporidae. The record is from RefSeq and is a predicted model, not a curated record.